Molecule: ribosomal RNA, 520 nt
Filed under: uncultured Archaeospora
Lineage: Eukaryota; Fungi; Glomeromycota; Glomeromycetes; Archaeosporales; Archaeosporaceae
Description: SSU rRNA
Rfam family: Eukaryotic small subunit ribosomal RNA
Source: RNAcentral
AGCAGCCGCGGUAAUUCCAGCUCCAAUAGCGUAUAUUAAAGUUGUUGCAGUUAAAAAGCUCGUAGUUGAAUUUUAGGCCUGGCCGGGCGGUCCGUCUUUGGCGAGUACUGUCCUGUGUCGGGUCUUCCUUCUGGUGAACCAGUAUGUCCUUUAUUGGGUGUGCCGGGGAGCCAGGACCAUUACCUUGAAAAAAGUUAGAGUGUUUAAAGCGGGCAUUUGCUUGAAUAGAUUAGCAUGGAAUAAUAGAAUAGGACGUUGUGGUUCUAUUUUGUUGGUUUCUAGGACCACCGUAAUGAUUAAUAGGGAUAGUUGGGGGCAUUAGUAUUCAAUUGUCAGAGGUGAAAUUCUUGGAUUUAUUGAAGACUAACUAUUGCGAAAGCAUUUGCCAAGGAUGUUUUCAUUAAUCAAGAACGAAGUUAGGGGAGUCGAAGACGAUCAGAUACCGUCGUAGUCUUAACCAUAAACUAUGCCGACUAGGAAUCGGGCGACGUUAUUUUCAUGACUCGCUCGGCGCCUUAUG